Molecule: ribosomal RNA, 253 nt
Filed under: uncultured bacterium
Lineage: Bacteria
Description: partial 16S ribosomal RNA
Rfam family: Bacterial small subunit ribosomal RNA
Source: RNAcentral
UACAGAGGUCCCAAGCGUUGUUCGGAUUCACUGGGCGUAAAGGGUGCGUAGGCGGUCGGGUAAGUCUGAUGUGAAAUCUCACAGCUUAACUGUGAAACUGCAUUCGAUACUGCCGUGCUUGAGGACUGGAGAGGAGACUGGAAUUUACGGUGUAGCAGUGAAAUGCGUAGAGAUCGUAAGGAAGACCAGUGGCGAAGGCGGGUCUCUGGACAGUUCCUGACACUGAGGCACGAAGGCCAGGGGAGCAAACGGG